GGUCUUAUAUUUUAAUAAAAAUAUUAGAUUGCAAAUCUAAAGCUGAUAAUUUUCUAAGACUU
RNAcentral lists this transfer RNA (62 nucleotides) under Typhlocyba choui. Its description in RNAcentral is "tRNA-Cys". Lineage: Eukaryota; Metazoa; Arthropoda; Insecta; Hemiptera; Cicadellidae. The record is from RNAcentral.